AAAUGAAUAGACGGGGGCCCGCACAAGCGGUGGAGCAUGUGGUUUAAUUCGACGAUACGCGAGAAACCUUACCUGGGUUUGACAUGGAUUUGACUGGGGUAGAGAUACCCCUUCCCGCAAGGGCAGAUUCACAGGUGUUGCAUGGUCGUCGUCAGCUCGUGUUGUGAGAUGUUGGGUUAAGUCCCGCAACGAGCGCAACCCCUAUCUUCUGUUGCCAUCAUUAAGUUGGGCACUCUGAAGAAACCGCCGGUGACAAACCGGAGGAAGGUGGGGAUGACGUCAGAUCAGCAUGGCCCUUAUAUCCAGGGCUACACACGUGCUACAAUGGCCGGUACAGAGGGACGCAAUGCCGCGAGGUGGAGCAAAUCCCACAAAGCCGGUCUCAGUUCAGAUUGCAGUCUGCAACUCGACUGCAUGAAGUCGGAAUCGCUAGUAAUCGCAAAUCAGCAUGUUGCGGUGAAUACGUUCCCGGGCCUUGUACACACCGCCCGU
Molecule: ribosomal RNA, 492 nt
Filed under: uncultured bacterium
Lineage: Bacteria
Description: bacterial SSU rRNA
Rfam family: Bacterial small subunit ribosomal RNA
Source: RNAcentral